GUGUGUGUGUGUGUGUGUGUGAAACACAACUGACAGAGAGACAAAGGAGAACAGGGAAAGGAAAUGCAAAUGAGUGUUUUAAAUAGCAAU
This is a long non-coding RNA of Etheostoma spectabile (orangethroat darter), 90 nucleotides long. RefSeq lists it as uncharacterized. The transcript is spliced from 3 exons. The record is from RefSeq and is a predicted model, not a curated record. Lineage: Eukaryota; Metazoa; Chordata; Actinopteri; Perciformes; Percidae.